This 29-nucleotide non-coding RNA is filed under the name Rattus norvegicus (Norway rat). Lineage: Eukaryota; Metazoa; Chordata; Mammalia; Rodentia; Muridae. The record is from RNAcentral.
UCCAGAACUGAAAGAAGGCUUAUGGUGGA